This 253-nucleotide ribosomal RNA is filed under the name uncultured bacterium. RNAcentral describes it as "partial 16S ribosomal RNA". It matches the Rfam family "Bacterial small subunit ribosomal RNA", at positions 524 to 776 of the family's 1533-position model. The record is from RNAcentral.
UACGUAGGGAGCAAGCGUUGUCCGGAAUCAUUGGGCGUAAAGCGCGCGUAGGUAGCCAUUUAAGUCCGCUGUGAAAGUCAAAGGCUCAACCUUUGAAAGCCGGUGGAUACUGGGUGGCUAGAGUACGGAAGAGGCGAGUGGAAUUCCUGGUGUAGCGGUGGAAUGCGCAGAUAUCAGGAGGAACACCAAUAGCGAAGGCAGCUCGCUGGGACGUUACUGACACUGAGGCGCGAAAGCGUGGGGAGCGAACAGG